AUUGGAGAUAAGGAGUGUAAUAACUUUUUAUCCCCUUUAUAUUUAAAUGCUAAUUUUUUAUUUAAAAAUAGUAAUUUUUGGAUAUUCGAAAUAAAUUGAUAUAACUAUUUUCAUCAACAUCUUCAUUUUCUAUAUAUAACUACUCAUUAUUUUUCUCAUUUCAUAUUAUUUAUCCAAAUGUUAUUUUUUUUAUUUCCGGAAACAAUCCAAUUUUCAUCCAAAUGCUAUUUUUGUUAUCUUCAUACUUAUACCUAUCUCUAUUUCUGGUUUAUACCCGAACCUUAUUUUAUUAUUAUAAAAAACACAAUUAAUUAAUUAUAUAUUAAUUUUUAUUUAUAUUUAUAUAUAUAUAU
RNAcentral lists this long non-coding RNA (353 nucleotides) under Ananas comosus (pineapple). RNAcentral's name for it is "long non-coding RNA (ACOM_LNC026179)". The record is from RNAcentral. Lineage: Eukaryota; Viridiplantae; Streptophyta; Magnoliopsida; Poales; Bromeliaceae.